AAAAAGCCUGAUAUUCUGGAUUGUUUGC
This 28-nucleotide small RNA is filed under the name Bombyx mori (domestic silkworm). RNAcentral's name for it is "ovarian small RNA-9834". The record is from RNAcentral. Lineage: Eukaryota; Metazoa; Arthropoda; Insecta; Lepidoptera; Bombycidae.